UACGAAGGGUGCAAACGUUGCUCGGAAUAUUUGGGCGUAAAGCGCACGUAGGCGGCUUAGCAAGUCGGAUGUGAAAUCCCUCGGCUCAACCAAGGAAGUGCAUCCGAAACUGCUGAGCUUGAGUACUUAAGAGGAUCGCGGAAUUCCCGGUGUAGAGGUGAAAUUCGUAGAUAUCAGGAGGAAUACCGGUGGUGUAGACGGCUCUCUGGACCGCCACUGACGCUGAGACACGAAAGCGUGGGUAGCAAACAGG
RNAcentral lists this ribosomal RNA (253 nucleotides) under uncultured bacterium. RNAcentral describes it as "partial 16S ribosomal RNA". It matches the Rfam family "Bacterial small subunit ribosomal RNA", at positions 524 to 776 of the family's 1533-position model. The record is from RNAcentral.